UACAAAUUACAGAAAAGUGAGUGCUGGUU
RNAcentral lists this non-coding RNA (29 nucleotides) under Mus musculus (house mouse). The record is from RNAcentral. Lineage: Eukaryota; Metazoa; Chordata; Mammalia; Rodentia; Muridae.